RNAcentral lists this long non-coding RNA (389 nucleotides) under Rattus norvegicus (Norway rat). RNAcentral describes it as "long non-coding RNA NONRATT022666". The record is from RNAcentral. Lineage: Eukaryota; Metazoa; Chordata; Mammalia; Rodentia; Muridae.
CUGGGCUCACUGCCGAGCUGGGAUCCUUACCCAUCGAGCAGCAUCUCCUCAAGAGCAUCUGUGGUGACUGUGCCCAGGGCCAGGCAGCCCAUUCAGCCUCCCUUCUGGUGAAAGGAGAAAAGGGGGACCAGGGUGUCCCUGGUGUGCCGGGUUUCAACGACUGUGCCAGGUGCUUCAUAGAGAGGGAGCGCCCGAGAGCUGAGGAGGCCAGGGGAGACAACAGUGAGGGAGAACCUGGCUGUCCUGGGAGCCCUGGCCUGCCUGGUCCUCCAGGGAUGCCUGGCCAAAGAGGAGAAGAGGGUCCACCUGGCAUGAGGGGCUCUCCUGGUCUUCCAGGCCCUGUUGGCCCCCCAGGUUUUCCUGGUGCUGUUGGCUCCCCCGGAUUGCCU